CAAAUUAUUCUUAAAGUUAAGAUUUUCAUUUACAUUGAAAUAGUUGUUGUGCAAUUCAAUAUAAUUUGA
RNAcentral lists this transfer RNA (69 nucleotides) under Arria pallida. RNAcentral describes it as "tRNA-Val". Lineage: Eukaryota; Metazoa; Arthropoda; Insecta; Mantodea; Haaniidae. The record is from RNAcentral.